CAGCAGCCGCGGUAAUACGAAGGGGGCUAGCGUUGUUCGGAAUUACUGGGCGUAAAGCGCACGUAGGCGGACAUUUAAGUCAGGGGUGAAAUCCCGGGGCUCAACCCCGGAACUGCCUUUGAUACUGGGUGUCUAGAGUAUGGAAGAGGUGAGUGGAAUUCCGAGUGUAGAGGUGAAAUUCGUAGAUAUUCGGAGGAACACCAGUGGCGAAGGCGGCUCACUGGUCCAUUACUGACGCUGAGGUGCGAAAGCGUGGGGAGCAAACAGGAUUAGAUACCCCGGUAGUCCCUGUCUCUUAUAU
This 301-nucleotide ribosomal RNA is filed under the name uncultured bacterium. RNAcentral describes it as "partial 16S ribosomal RNA". It matches the Rfam family "Bacterial small subunit ribosomal RNA", at positions 509 to 809 of the family's 1533-position model. The record is from RNAcentral.